This 465-nucleotide ribosomal RNA is filed under the name uncultured bacterium. Its description in RNAcentral is "partial 16S ribosomal RNA". It matches the Rfam family "Bacterial small subunit ribosomal RNA", at positions 28 to 507 of the family's 1533-position model. The record is from RNAcentral.
GACGAACGCUGGCGGCGUGCUUAACACAUGCAAGUCGAACGGUAAGGCUCCAGCUUUCUGGGGUACACGAGUGGCGAACGGGUGAGUAACACGUGGGUGACCUGCCCUGCACUUCGGGAUAAGCCUGGGAAACUGGGUCUAAUACCGGAUAGGACCGCACCGUGAGGGUGUGGUGGUAAGUUUUUUCGGUGUUGGAUGGGCCCGCGGCCUAUCAGCUUGUUGGUGGGGUAAUGGGCUACCAAGGGGGCGACGGGUGGCCGGCCUGAGAGGGUGGACGGCCACAUUGGGACUGAGACACGGCGCAGAAUGCUACGGGAGGCAGCAGUGGGGAAUAUUGCACAAUGGGCGGAAGCCUGAUGCAGCGACGCCGCGUGGGGGAUGACGGCCUUCGGGUUGUAAACAACUUUCACCAUAGACGAAGGGUUUCUGACGGUAGAUGGAGAAGAAGCACCGGCUAACUACGUG